RNAcentral lists this long non-coding RNA (513 nucleotides) under Callithrix jacchus (white-tufted-ear marmoset). Its description in RNAcentral is "lncRNA (ENSCJAG00000074585.1)". Lineage: Eukaryota; Metazoa; Chordata; Mammalia; Primates; Cebidae. The record is from RNAcentral.
CAACCUCCCAAAGUGUUGUGAUUACAGGUGUGAGCCACUGCACCUGUCCUAAAAGUUCAUCUUCAUCUGGAAGAAUGGAGAAGAUUGAAAAGUCUUAGAAAGCCUACACGUGAGACUAAAUAAACCAUCUCAAUCAGCAUCAACAACGCACUGGUGUGGGAUACAGGUGUGCCAAAUUAUUGACCCUUGCAGCUCUUGUGGCCAGGAAGGGUUUGGAAUAGGUGAAUCUCCAGGCUGAUGAGCAAGUAACAUCUUUCUUUGCCCAAAGUGACUGAGGAAAUAUGACUGUCUACUUGUGCCACCUUGUUCCAAUGUUUGAGAAACACUAGAAGAACUCUUACUGCGCACACGAGAACAGCUGAGGAACUGCUCAAGUACCAGCAGUUUCUGUGGAAUCCAGGUGACUCUUCCCCCUGUGGAUUUGACCAGCACUUCAUAUGGCCCUCUCUCAAAAUAAUCACUAUGAAGGAGGAUUAUUUUGAACCUGAGAAAAACUGCUAUCCUAGGAUAACU